UACGGAGGGGGUUAGCGUUGUUCGGAAUUACUGGGCGUAAAGCGCACGUAGGCGGAUCAGAAAGUUGGGGGUGAAAUCCCGGGGCUCAACCCCGGAACUGCCUCCAAAACUCCUGGUCUUGAGUUCGAGAGAGGUGAGUGGAAUUCCGAGUGUAGAGGUGAAAUUCGUAGAUAUCGUGGAGACCAU
This 186-nucleotide ribosomal RNA is filed under the name uncultured bacterium. RNAcentral's name for it is "partial 16S ribosomal RNA". It matches the Rfam family "Bacterial small subunit ribosomal RNA", at positions 524 to 709 of the family's 1533-position model. The record is from RNAcentral.